CCUACGGGCGGCAGCAGUGAGGAAUAUUGGUCAAUGGCCGGAAGGCUGAACCAGCCAAGCCGCGUGAAGGACGAAGGUGCCAAGCAUUGUAAACUUCUUUUGUCAAGGGACAAAAUCAGGCUCGAGAGCCUGACCGAGGGUACUUGAAGAAAAAGCAUCGGCUAACUCCGUGCCAGCAGCCGCGGUAAUACGGAGGAUGCGAGCGUUAUCCGGAUUUAUUGGGUUUAAAGGGUGCGUAGGCGGGCUGUUAAGUCAGCGGUAAAAGGCCGGGGCUCAACCCCGGCGAGCCGUUGAAACUGGGUGUCUUGAGAUGUCGAGAGGUAUGCGGAAUGCGCAGUGUAGCGGUGAAAUGCUUAGAUAUUGCGCAGAACUCCGAUUGCGAAGGCAGCAUACCGGCGGCGAGCUGACGCUGAGGCACGAAAGCGUGGGUAUCGAACAGGAUUAGAUACCCGAGUAGUC
RNAcentral lists this ribosomal RNA (459 nucleotides) under uncultured bacterium. RNAcentral describes it as "partial 16S ribosomal RNA". It matches the Rfam family "Bacterial small subunit ribosomal RNA", at positions 338 to 795 of the family's 1533-position model. The record is from RNAcentral.